This 301-nucleotide ribosomal RNA is filed under the name uncultured bacterium. RNAcentral's name for it is "partial 16S ribosomal RNA". It matches the Rfam family "Bacterial small subunit ribosomal RNA", at positions 509 to 807 of the family's 1533-position model. The record is from RNAcentral.
CAGCCGCCGCGGGAAUACGAAGGGGGCUAGCGUUGCUCGGAAUGACUGGGCGUAAAGGGCGCGUAGGCGGAUUGCGCAGUCAGAUGUGAAAUUCCUGGGCUUAACCUGGGGGCUGCAUUUGAGACGCGUAGUCUAGAGUGUGAAAGAGGGUCGUGGAAUUCCCAGUGUAGAGGUGAAAUUCGUAGAUAUUGGGAAGAACACCGGUGGCGAAGGCGGCGACCUGGUUCAUGACUGACGCUGAGGCGCGAAAGCGUGGGGAGCAAACAGGAUUAGAUACCCGGGUAGUCCCUGUCUCUUAUAC